GAGGGUGUAGCUCAAGAGGUAGAGUGCAUGCCUAGCAUGCAUGAGGUCCUGCAUUCAAUCCCCAGUACCUCCC
Molecule: transfer RNA, 73 nt
Filed under: Camelus bactrianus (Bactrian camel)
Lineage: Eukaryota; Metazoa; Chordata; Mammalia; Artiodactyla; Camelidae
Also listed under: 3 other names
Rfam family: tRNA
About the family: Transfer RNA (tRNA) molecules are approximately 80 nucleotides in length. Their secondary structure includes four short double-helical elements and three loops (D, anti-codon, and T loops).
Source: Rfam by way of RNAcentral